This 851-nucleotide ribosomal RNA is filed under the name uncultured archaeon. RNAcentral describes it as "bacterial SSU rRNA". It matches the Rfam family "Archaeal small subunit ribosomal RNA", at positions 69 to 922 of the family's 1478-position model. The record is from RNAcentral.
UAGAAAUACGUGGCAAACGGCUCAGUAACACGUAGUCAACAUGCCCAGGGGACGUGGAUAACCUCGGGAAACUGAGGAUAAACCACGAUAGGCCAUGAUUUCUGGAAUGGUUCAUGGCCGAAAUCUAUAUGGCCCCUGGAUUGGACUGCGGCCGAUCAGGCUGUUGGUGAGGUAAUGGCCCACCAAACCUGUAACCGGUACGGGCACUGAGAGGAGGAGCCCGGAGAUGGGCACUGAGACAAGGGCCCAGGCCCUAUGGGGCGCAGCAGGCGCGAAAUCUCUGCAAUAGGCGAAAGCUUGACAGGGUUACUCUGAGUGAUUCCCGCUAAGGGCAUCUUUUGGCACCUUUAAAAAUGGUGCAGAAUAAGGGGUGGGCAAGUCUGGUGUCAGCCGCCGCGGUAAUACCAGCACCCCGAGUGGUCGGGACGAUUAUUGGGCCUAAAGCAUCCGUAGCCGGUACUGCAAGUCUUCCGUUAAAUCCACCUGCUUAACAGUUGGGCUGCGGGGGAUACUACAGCGCUAGGAGGCGGGAGAGGCAAGCGGUACUCAAUGGGCAGGGGUAAAAUCCGCUGAUCCAUUGAAGACCACCAGUGGCGAAGGCGGCUUGCCAGAACGCGCUCGACGGUGAGGGAUGAAAGCUGGGGGAGCAAACCGGAUUAGAUACCCGGGUAGUCCCAGCUGUAAACGAUGCAGACUCGGUGAUGGGCUGGCCUUGUGCCAGCCCAGUGCCGCAGGGAAGCCGUUAAGUCUGCCGCCUGGGGGAGUACGGUCGCAAGACUGAAACUUAAAGGAAUUGGCGGGGGAGCACCACAAGGGGUGAAGCCUGCGGUUCAAUUGGAUUCAACGCCGGG